RNAcentral lists this ribosomal RNA (464 nucleotides) under uncultured bacterium. RNAcentral's name for it is "partial 16S ribosomal RNA". It matches the Rfam family "Bacterial small subunit ribosomal RNA", at positions 28 to 507 of the family's 1533-position model. The record is from RNAcentral.
GACGAACGCUGGCGGCGUCUUAACACCUGCAAGUCGUACGGUAAGGCCCUUUCGGGGGUACACGAGUGGCGAACGGGUGAGUAACACGUGAGUAACCUGCCCACAACUUUGGGAUAACGCUAGGAAACUGGUGCUAAUACUGGAUAUGUGCUCCUGCUGCAUGGUGGGGGUUGGAAAGCUCCGGCGGUUGUGGAUGGACUCGCGGCCUAUCAGCUUGUUGGUGGGGUAGUGGCCUACCAAGGCGGCGACGGGUAGCCGGCCUGAGAGGGUGACCGGCCACAUUGGGACUGAGAUACGGCCCAGACUCCUACGGGAGGCAGCAGUGGGGAAUAUUGCACAAUGGGCGCAAGCCUGAUGCAGCAACGCCGCGUGCGGGAUGACGGCCUUCGGGUUGUAAACCGCUUUCAGCAGGGACGAAGCUUUUUGUGACGGUACCUGCAGAAGAAGCACCGGCUAACUACGUG